UUAACUAAAGCCAAAGAAGAGGCUUUCCUUUGUUAAUGGAAAUAUUGAUUUGUAGAAUCUAGUUAUA
This 67-nucleotide transfer RNA is filed under the name Haematopinus tuberculatus. RNAcentral's name for it is "tRNA-Asn". Lineage: Eukaryota; Metazoa; Arthropoda; Insecta; Psocodea; Haematopinidae. The record is from RNAcentral.